AGAGUUUGAUCCUGGCUCAGAGCAAACGCUGGCGGCGUGCCUAAUACAUGCAAGUCGAACGGGGAAGUAUCUUCGGAUAUUGUACUAGUGGCGUACGGGUGAGUAACACGUGGAUAAUCUUCCUUCAGAUGGGGAAUAACCAAUCGAAAGAUUGGCUAAUACCGCAUAAGACCACAAUCUCUUCGGAGAAAGGGGUUAAA
This 200-nucleotide ribosomal RNA is filed under the name uncultured bacterium. Its description in RNAcentral is "partial 16S ribosomal RNA". It matches the Rfam family "Bacterial small subunit ribosomal RNA", at positions 8 to 205 of the family's 1533-position model. The record is from RNAcentral.